GAAGAUGGCAUAUGUGGAGCGUGCAACAUGCAACAAACUGUGAAACACCUACUCAUGAAAUGCAAAUGUUACAUGGAAGAAAAACAAAGGCUAUAUGUUGCAGUAUCGCGCCUGGUCAUAAAGAUACAUUUGUAGAAAUAGUCACUGCUACAAUCUGAUCUCAACCUGUGAGAGGCAGCAACGUGCCGCGAGGCAUCUAGUCUACCGAAAACUGAAGGAGAGGGAAAGGGGACUGGAUGACAUGAGGUGAUCGUCCACCACGGGGAAAAUGCCAAGAUUCAUGUGGUUAGUUUGCGUCGUUUACGGUUGCUAAAAUCGGUCAAACUGAGAAGCCAGGAGUAUUUUUUAUCAAGUCCUGGCCAAAGUCGUUGUUUUUAAGUGGGGAAAUGCAAGAAAUUGAGCGAAAAACGCCGAGGAAAAUGACUGGCGGCCGAACACCUGUGGCUGGGAGGAGCGAAGUCAGUGUGUACAGUGACCACCUCAUUGAAGACUGAACUCCCACAGUUAACCUUGGUGAUGCCCAUGCCUGAGAGGUGAGAGUCAAGUCCACGGACAACAAAGACUCACAGAUGGUGCAGAGGUCUUGCUGGAAUUGACAAGUGCCCACACUGCAAAGCAAGAUGAGGUUGAUCUGUGCCUGUGUGCUGGAGACAAGGGAUUCUGCCUUAUCAACAAUGGAGAUGAUGUUAUACAGGAGCUGCUACUUCCAAGUCCAGGAGUCAAACUUCAGUGAAAUCACAGAAAGGAGAGACAGACAUGAAGAUUUACGCAAGAUCCAGAACUUCAGCAGGCACCGCCUCCUCUUCCUGCAGAGACAAAACACAUAAGUCAGUACAGUCACAGUAGUCACCCUGUGAAACUUUAAAUAAUUUAUUAUUCUAACUCUAGUUAUCACAGGAAAACAGUCUAUUUAAUUGUGUCUGCCUUAUUAUUACACUUAAAGUCAAUUAUUAUGCUCUACUGUAAAUAAAUAAUAAAAUUAUAGUCCUACCUUCACCCUGGGUAAAUCCAGUUGUUCCCAUGAAUUCAUCUGAAAAACACAGAGCAUGUAUUUAAUAACUACUUCCAACAAAGCAUAGCUUGUCAUUACAUACAGACAUUCUUAUCCUGGAAAAAUAUAUUAUUGUACUCUAAUUUUAGCUGAUGUUUAAAUUCUUCCUUCACUUUCUACUGUACAUGGACUAUGUAAAUAAGCAUUAUUAAUGAGAUAAGUGUUAUUUUGACAAAUUAUAAAUUAUUCAGACUUAUGUUCAAAUCAAUUACUGAACAUGCACAACUUAAAUGUCACUGCUCUCUGUUGGACAGUUCAUGUAAUGGUGUCUUGUAAAUUACCUCUUUGUUGUGAUCUUCUGCUCAGAGAACUUCUUUAUUGUACAAGGACUGCAAUUGUGGACUGCUGACACCUGAAAUCAAUAAAACAAAUAUACAAAGGAAAAUUAGUAUGUGAUCACACUGAAGCAAUCAUGUAUAUUACUGUGAACUGCAUAAUGAACAUUUACAUAAAAUUUUGAAUGCCAGACUAACAUGUGGUAUUGCUAAUUAUACUUAAGGUCUGAGUACACAUAUGUGCACGAUGGAAUUACUUUAAGGUACUGUCUUUGUUUUGUAAACUAAUAAACAUUGUGUUUGUCCAAAUAUUCUAUUCUAUUAAAUAUUUAACAACUGUUUGAUGAACUGGU
Long non-coding RNA from Lates calcarifer (barramundi perch), 1679 nucleotides. RefSeq lists it as uncharacterized. The transcript has 5 exons. The record is from RefSeq and is a predicted model, not a curated record. Lineage: Eukaryota; Metazoa; Chordata; Actinopteri; Centropomidae.